GCCUCAUCAAUGUGAAAUAAUAUCUAAAAUUCUUGUUUACAAAUUAUCUACAACAAACCAUUUACAUUUUCAAUACUUCCAUAAAACUUAAUCCAGCAGUUUUCCAACAGAACAGAUGAUCCUAGGUCUACCAUUGUUGCACAGCCAGUCUGCUCUACACAUGCCAAAAUUAAUGUUUGAGUUAUCUCCCAUUAAAGCAAUAUUUUUGGGAAUGUUACUUAUGUAUUGAUUUGAAUGGACAAAGCUUAAAAAUAACAGUAGUGAAAAUAAUAUCUCUUCAAUAAAAACUGUA
RNAcentral lists this long non-coding RNA (292 nucleotides) under Mytilus galloprovincialis (Mediterranean mussel). Lineage: Eukaryota; Metazoa; Mollusca; Bivalvia; Mytilida; Mytilidae. The record is from RNAcentral.